AGAGUUUGAUCAUGGCUCAGAAUCAACGCUGGCGGCGCGCUUAACACACGCAAGUCGCACGAGAAAGGGAGCAAUCCUAAGUAAAGUGGCGCACGGGUGAGUAACACGUGGAUUAUCUACCUUUUAGUGGGGAAUACCUCUGGGAAACCGGAGACAAUACCGCAUAAGCCCGCAAGGGGAAAGCAGCAAUGCGCUGAAAGAGGAGUCCGCGGCCGAUUAGCUAGUUGGCGGGGUAACGGCCCACCAAGGCGAAGAUCGGUAGCCGGCCUGAGAGGGCACACGGCCACACUGGCACUGAAACACGGGCCAGACUCCUACGGGAGGCAGCAGUGGGGAAUCUUGCACAAUGGGCGAAAGCCUGAUGCAGCGACGCCGCGUGAGCGAUGAAGCCCUUCGGGGUGUAAAGCUCUUUCGACGGGAACGAUAAUGACGGUACCCGGAGAAGAAGCUGCGGCUAACUACGUGCCAGCAGCCGCGGUAAUACGUAGGCAGCGAGCGUUGUUCGGAAUUACUGGGCGUAAAGAGUGUGUAGGCGGUGUUCCCAGUCUGUUGUGAAAUCUCCCGGCUUAACUGGGAGGGUGCAGCGGAAACUAGAAUGCUAGAGGGUGGGAGAGGUAAGCGGAAUUCCUGGUGUAGCGGUGAAAUGCGUAGAUAUCAGGAGGAACACCUGGUGUAGACAGCUUACUGGACCACUUCUGACGCUGAGACACGAAAGCGUGGGUAGCAAACAGGAUUAGAUACCCCCGUAGUCC
RNAcentral lists this ribosomal RNA (752 nucleotides) under uncultured bacterium. RNAcentral describes it as "bacterial SSU rRNA". It matches the Rfam family "Bacterial small subunit ribosomal RNA", at positions 8 to 796 of the family's 1533-position model. The record is from RNAcentral.